CUUGUCUCUUAAUAUGGAUGUGUCAACGACGAUGUUCCUAACCCCUGGACCAGUGAUUGAUUUUCUGAAAGCUAACCAGAAUGUACAGGAUCCAUGCUAUAUUGACUGGGUGAAGGCCAAAAUUAUGUUGAAAAAUUUGAGGAUUAAGCCAAGGCACCGUGACAUGGAAUAUAAAAUUAUUGGCUUGAGCCAAAAGGUCUGCAAAGAGCAAUAGUAAGCGGUUCUUUGCCGUCUGUGCCUUUUCCCUCUUUGAAUUGUCACUCUUCGUUUUGUAUCCAUUGUGAACCUCUAACUUUGCUCUUAUUUCCUAGUUUUUCAAUGAAAGUGAGAAGCCAUGAUUGUGCAAAUGUGGAGUCGCAGGUUGUGAAGAUAACAGUGUAUGAGUAUUUUACUAAACACCGCGGCAUAGAACUCACCGACUCUGCGUGUCUGCCUUGCCUUGAUGUUGGCAAUACUAAACAACCUCUCUAUCUGCCAAUAGAGUUAUGCUGAAUUUUCUUACGCAAUAUUCUUAUUUUUAGUUUGUGUUGCUUGAAUCUUGUCUUACUUCCUAUGCUUUUCCCUGUGUUGCAGCUUUGUUCGCUUGUUCCACUCCAGCGCUGUACAAAAGCUCUAUCCCCAACUCUAAGAGCAUCUUUGGUUGCAAAUUCUAGACAAAACCCUCAAAAUAGAAAACGAACUGUGAUUGAUGCUGUGAGAAACUACCGUUGCGAUGAUGAUUCUUUGCUUUCUGCAAGUGGUGUUUCUAUAGAAAGACAAAUGAUGCAAGUUGACGGUCGCGUACUUGGAACUCCAAUGUUGAGGGUAGGAAACAAGGAAGACUUUCUCCCUACGAAUGGUCGGUGGAACUUCAAUUACAAGACUCUUUUCAAAACCACUUGCAUUGAUCGAUGGGUUGUGGUUAACUUUUCUUCUCGCUGUUAUAAUGAUAAAAUCUGCCAUGAUCUCAUUAGCUGUGGAAGGAGAAUGGGCAUACAAAUUAAAAGCCCACGUACCCCAAUUUGGGAGUACCCACAAUCUAGAGGAGACAAACCUCUUGAUAGAGUAGAAAAUAUGUUUGAGAUGCUGAACAGAGCUAAGCUUCUGAAAGAUACCCAGUUUAUUUUGUGCGUCUUGCCAGAGAAGAAAUCUGACAUUUAUGGACCAUGGAAGAAGAAA
This 1158-nucleotide unclassified non-coding RNA is filed under the name Hevea brasiliensis (rubber tree). The record is from RNAcentral. Lineage: Eukaryota; Viridiplantae; Streptophyta; Magnoliopsida; Malpighiales; Euphorbiaceae.